Molecule: non-coding RNA, 76 nt
Organism: Myotis davidii
Lineage: Eukaryota; Metazoa; Chordata; Mammalia; Chiroptera; Vespertilionidae
Source: Rfam
UGCAUUUCUCGGGUGACACACCCUGGAAUCGGGCUCCCUCCUCUCUGGUUCUGGGGUGCAUUACCAGAGAACCGCA